CCUACGGGUGGCAGCAGUGAGGAAUAUUGGUCAAUGGACGCAAGUCUGAACCAGCCAUGCCGCGUGCAGGAAGACGGCCCUAUGAGUUGUAAACUGCUUUUGUACGAGGGUAAACUCAGAUACGCGUAUAUUUCUGAAAGUAUCGUACGAAUAAGGAUCGGCUAACUCCGUGCCAGCAGCCGCGGUAAUACGGAGGAUUCAAGCGUUAUCCGGAUUUAUUGGGUUUAAAGGGUGCGUAGGCGGUCGGAUAAGUUAGAGGUGAAAUCCCGGGGCUCAACGUCGGAAUUGCCGUUGAUACUGGUCGGCUAGAGAAUAGUUGAGGUAGGCGGAAUGUAUGGUGUAGCGGUGAAAUGCUUAGAGAUCACGCAGAACACCGAUUGCGAAGGCAGCUUACCGGGCUACUACUGACGUUGAGGCACGAAAGCGUGGGGAGCAAACAGGAUUAGAUACCCGAGUAGUC
Molecule: ribosomal RNA, 460 nt
Filed under: uncultured bacterium
Lineage: Bacteria
Description: partial 16S ribosomal RNA
Rfam family: Bacterial small subunit ribosomal RNA
Source: RNAcentral